GAGUUUGAUCCUGGCUCAGAUUGAACGCUGGUGGCAUGCUUAACACAUGCAAGUCGAACGGUAACAGGUCUUCGGAUGCUGACGAGUGGCGGACGGGUGAGUAACGCGUAGGAAUCUGCCCAUCUGUGGGGGAUACCAGUUGGAAACGACUGUUAAUACCGCAUAAUAUCUGCGGAUUAAAGGUGGCCUUUGUGCUGCCGCAGAUGGAUGAGCCUGCGUUGGAUUAGCUAGUUGGUGGGGUAAGGGCCUACCAAGGCUACGAUCCAUAGCUGAUUUGAGAGGAUGAUCAGCCACAUUGGGACUGAGACACGGCCCAAACUCCUACGGGAGGCAGCAGUGGGGAAUAUUGGACAAUGGGGGAAACCCUGAUCCAGCAAUGCCAUGUGUGUGAAGAAGGCUCUAGGGUUGUAAAGCACUUUAGUUGGGGAGGAAAGCCUAUAAGUUAAUAGCUUGUAGGAAGGACGUUACCCAAAGAAUAAGGACCGGCUAACUCCGUGCCAGCAGCCGCGGUAAUACGGGGGGUCCGAGCGUUAAUCGGAAUUACUGGGCGUAAAGGGUCUGUAGGUGGUUUGUUAAGUCAGAUGUGAAAGCCCAGGGCUCAACCUUGGAACUGCAUUUGAUACUGGCAAACUAGAGUAUGGUAGAGGAAUGGGGAAUUUCUGGUGUAGCGGUGAAAUGCGUAGAGAUCAGAAGGAACACCAAUGGCGAAGGCAACAUUCUGGACCAAUACUGACACUGAGGGACGAAAGCGUGGGGAUCAAACAGGAUUAGAUACCCUGGUAGUCCACGCUGUAAACGAUGAGUACUAGCUGUUGGAUUCGGUGUAAAGGAUCUAGUGGCGCAGCUAACGCGUUAAGUACUCCGCCUGGGGACUACGGCCGCAAGGCUAAAACUCAAAGGAAUUGACGGGGACCCGCACAAGCGGUGGAGCAUGUGGUUUAAUUCGAUGCAACGCGAAGAACCUUACCUGGUCUUGACAUCCUGCGAACUUUCUAGAGAUAGAUUGGUGCCUUCGGGAACGCAGUGACAGGUGCUGCACGGCUGUCGUCAGCUCGUGUUGUGAAAUGUUGGGUUAAGUCCCGCAACGAGCGCAACCCCUAUUGAUAGUUACCAUCAUUAAGUUGGGUACUCUAUUGAGACUGCCGCUGACAAGGCGGAGGAAGGUGGGGACGACGUCAAGUCAUCAUGGCCCUUACGACCAGGGCUACACACGUGCUACAAUGGGUAUUACAGAGGGCUGCGAAGGUGCGAGCUGGAGCGAAACUCAGAAAGGUACUCUUAGUCCGGAUUGCAGUCUGCAACUCGACUGCAUGAAGUCGGAAUCGCUAGUAAUCGCAGGUCAGAAUACUGCGGUGAAUACGUUCCCGGGUCUUGUACACACCGCCCGUCACACCAUGGGAGUGGGUUGCUCCAGAAGUAGAUAGCUUAACGAAUGGGCGUUUACCACGGAGUGAUUCAUGACUGGGGUGAAGUCGUAACAAGGUAGCCGUAGGGGAACCUGCGGCUGGAUCACC
RNAcentral lists this ribosomal RNA (1514 nucleotides) under Francisella philomiragia. RNAcentral's name for it is "bacterial SSU rRNA". It matches the Rfam family "Bacterial small subunit ribosomal RNA". The record is from RNAcentral. Lineage: Bacteria; Pseudomonadati; Pseudomonadota; Gammaproteobacteria; Thiotrichales; Francisellaceae.